ACACGACUACAUUAGAUACCCCCGUAGUCCCAGCCCUAAACGAUGCGCGUUAGGUGUAUCGGUGACCACGAGUCACCGAGGUGCCGAAGGGAAACCGUGAAACGUGCCGCCUGGGAAGUACGGCCGCAAGGCUGAAACUUAAAGGAAUUGGCGGGGGAGCACAACAACGGGUGGAGCUUGCGGUUUAAUUGGAUUCAACGCCGGAAAUCUUACCGGGACCGACAGCAACAUGAAGGCCAAGCUGAAGACUUUGCCGGAUUAGCUG
RNAcentral lists this ribosomal RNA (265 nucleotides) under uncultured archaeon. RNAcentral describes it as "partial 16S ribosomal RNA". It matches the Rfam family "Archaeal small subunit ribosomal RNA", at positions 717 to 982 of the family's 1478-position model. The record is from RNAcentral.